This 406-nucleotide ribosomal RNA is filed under the name uncultured bacterium. RNAcentral's name for it is "partial 16S ribosomal RNA". It matches the Rfam family "Bacterial small subunit ribosomal RNA", at positions 32 to 526 of the family's 1533-position model. The record is from RNAcentral.
AUUUAACGCUGGCGGCAGGCCUAACACAUGCAAGUCAGGCGAGCGGCGGAAGGGUGAGUAAUGUAUGGGGAUCUGCCUGAUGGAGGGGGAUAACUACUGGAAACGGUAGCUAAUACAGCAUACCAUCAGAUGAACCCAUAUGGGAUUAGCUAGUAUGUGAGGUAACGGCUCACCUAGUCGACGCUCCCUAGCUGGUCUGAGAGGAUGAUCAGCCACACUGGGACUGAGACACGGCCCAGACUCCUACGGGAGGCAGCAGUGGGGAAUAUUGCACAAUGGGCGCAAGCCUGAUGCAGCCAUGCCGCGUGUAUGAAGAAGGCCUUCGGGUUGUAAAGUACUUUCAGUCGGGAGGCGUUACCGACAGAAGAAGCACCGGCUAACUCCGUGCCAGCAGCCGCGGUAAUAC